AUUUGUUUAACUGUGGCAAAAGAAAAUUGAUAAUCUGUUAACUACAUAAAUAUAUUAUAGGUAGAUUAUAGUAUGUGUUUUACUAUCAUAUUUAGUAGGUAGGUUUUUGUUUAAACUAACGUUUAAUAAGAAUAGAUUAUUUAAAGGGGAUAGGACACAGUGCCAGCAUCUGCGGUUAGUCUGUUUUCUUUGUUUUUUUAUAGAUUGAGAUUUAUUUAUAAAUAAAUAAAACUAGGUUAAAUUAUUUUAUAAUUAUAUCAUAUAUUUAAAUUAGUUGAUAGUAUAGUGUAAUGACAGGGAUUAGAUACCCCAUUAAUAUAUACUUGUAACAAUAUCUUAGUUUAAUAACUAAAAUGGUUUGGCAGUGAGCGACUCUUAUUAGGGGAAGGUGUGGUUUAAAGGAUGUUCCGCCUAUUAAUUUACUUUUAUUAUGUUGGUGUAUAUCUGGUUUAAUAUUAUUGUUUAAUAACUUAAUUUGUGAAUGUGGUUAGUUAAGCCAAGUCUAUGUGCUGCUUAUAGAAGUAUUCAUGCGUUACAAUGAUAAUAAUAUAAUUGUAAGAUUAUAUAAUUGAGGACUUAAUAGUAAUGUUUAAUAAGUUUGUAGAUGUGAAGAAAGUUUAGCUCAGGUACACACCCGCCGCCACCCUCGAUUUUAUAUUGAGGUAAGUCGUAACAAGGUAACUUUAAAUGAAUUUGAAGUUGGUUACUGAAUUGUUUCAGUUUAA
Molecule: non-coding RNA, 725 nt
Filed under: Taenia caixuepengi
Lineage: Eukaryota; Metazoa; Platyhelminthes; Cestoda; Cyclophyllidea; Taeniidae
Source: RNAcentral